This 80-nucleotide transfer RNA is filed under the name Caudoviricetes sp. RNAcentral's name for it is "tRNA-Lys". It matches the Rfam family "tRNA". From Rfam's summary of the family: Transfer RNA (tRNA) molecules are approximately 80 nucleotides in length. Their secondary structure includes four short double-helical elements and three loops (D, anti-codon, and T loops). The record is from RNAcentral. Lineage: Duplodnaviria; Heunggongvirae; Uroviricota; Caudoviricetes.
GAGGGAUAUAGCUCAAGUGGUAGAGCGGUAGACUUUUAAUCUAUUGGUUGCAGGUUCGAGCCCUGUUGUCCCGUUUCGCA